UACGGAGGGGGCAAGCGUUAUUCGGAAUCAUUGGGCGUAAAGGGCGUGUAGGCGGCUUCGUGUGUCUUAUGUGAAGGCCCUCGGCUCAACCGGGGAACUGCAUGGGAAACUGCGAAGCUUGAGUCCGGGAGAGGAGAGUGGAAUUCCCAGUGUAGCGGUGAAAUGCGUAGAUAUUGGGAGGAACACCAGUGGCGAAGGCGGCUCUCUGGACCGGUACUGACGCUGAGACGCGAAAGCCAGGGGAGCAAACGGG
RNAcentral lists this ribosomal RNA (253 nucleotides) under uncultured bacterium. RNAcentral describes it as "partial 16S ribosomal RNA". It matches the Rfam family "Bacterial small subunit ribosomal RNA", at positions 524 to 776 of the family's 1533-position model. The record is from RNAcentral.